This 465-nucleotide ribosomal RNA is filed under the name Vreelandella stevensii. Its description in RNAcentral is "partial 16S ribosomal RNA". It matches the Rfam family "Bacterial small subunit ribosomal RNA", at positions 338 to 795 of the family's 1533-position model. The record is from RNAcentral. Lineage: Bacteria; Pseudomonadati; Pseudomonadota; Gammaproteobacteria; Oceanospirillales; Halomonadaceae.
CCUACGGGCGGCUGCAGUGGGGAAUAUUGGACAAUGGGCGAAAGCCUGAUCCAGCCAUGCCGCGUGUGUGAAGAAGGCCUUCGGGUUGUAAAGCACUUUCAGUGGGGAAGAAAGCCUUGGGGCUAAUACCCUCGAGGAAGGACAUCACCCACAGAAGAAGCACCGGCUAACUCCGUGCCAGCAGCCGCGGUAAUACGGAGGGUGCGAGCGUUAAUCGGAAUUACUGGGCGUAAAGCGCGCGUAGGCGGUCUGAUAAGCCGGUUGUGAAAGCCCCGGGCUCAACCUGGGAACGGCAUCCGGAACUGUCAGGCUAGAGUGCAGGAGAGGAAGGUAGAAUUCCCGGUGUAGCGGUGAAAUGCGUAGAGAUCGGGAGGAAUACCAGUGGCGAAGGCGGCCUUCUGGACUGACACUGACGCUGAGGUGCGAAAGCGUGGGUAGCAAACAGGAUUAGAUACCUUAGUAGUC